Molecule: ribosomal RNA, 301 nt
Filed under: uncultured bacterium
Lineage: Bacteria
Description: partial 16S ribosomal RNA
Rfam family: Bacterial small subunit ribosomal RNA
Source: RNAcentral
CAGUCGCCGCGGGAAUACAGAGGGUGCGAGCGUUAAUCGGAUUUACUGGGCGUAAAGCGUGCGUAGGCGGCUUUUUAAGUCGGAUGUGAAAUCCCUGAGCUUAACUUAGGAAUUGCAUUCGAUACUGGGAAGCUAGAGUAUGGGAGAGGAUGGUAGAAUUCCAGGUGUAGCGGUGAAAUGCGUAGAGAUCUGGAGGAAUACCAAUGGCGAAGGCAGCCAUCUGGCCUAAUACUGACGCUGAGGUACGAAAGCAUGGGGAGCAAACAGGAUUAGAUACCCGUGUAGUCCCUGUCUCUUAUAC